RNAcentral lists this long non-coding RNA (817 nucleotides) under Urocitellus parryii (Arctic ground squirrel). Its description in RNAcentral is "lncRNA (ENSUPAG00010005492.1)". The record is from RNAcentral. Lineage: Eukaryota; Metazoa; Chordata; Mammalia; Rodentia; Sciuridae.
UAGGAUUAGCGAAAUGGCAGCAACAACAAAAAAUUGUGAGCAGUUGUUACUCUUUUAAGUUUUUAAAAACCUUUUACAUUAGCAGUAAACAGUCCUCUGCGAAGCCGACUUUUUGCCAACCCAACUCUGGAAAAUGCAGACGUGGAAGGAAGCAGAAAAUGCCAUGAGAGUAUAACUUACAAAAAGGUUCUUGACCGGAGAAGGGGCCAUGUCUUGGUACCCCCGCAGAGUGGACAAUCCUUUCUUCUGGAUAACAGGAGCAGGCCUAGUGUGACUGACAGUCCUCCCACUGAGGUAGGUGAGAACCCUUUCCCAGGCUGUGAGGGCGAUUUAGGGGCUUUGGCCUGACGCCCGGGGAGGGCGGGUUGGGAUCCCCAAACCCGCUGGGCUGGUUCUGCCGCCCCUCCCCCACACAGAUGCGGCGACUGUGUGUGAAAUGGGCGGCCUGCUGGGUCUAUCCAGCCCCGCCUGUCAGCUUCUGUUGUCAGGCAUUUGGGGCGUGCAACUCUGCUGAAUUUAGCAGCUAACUAGAGGCUGCACUUGCAAGUAUUCCCCAGUUGUGUGUUUGUGGUGGGGGGAGGGCCUUGGAUGCCUCUUGCUUCUGAGACGUCCCAGCCGCAGCCCCCUCUUCCGGCCUUCAAUAUGAGCCACCUCUGAUGUCUGGUUGCUAGUGAGAUGAAGAAGAGACAGGCAUGAGAUCUGGGCCAGCUUUCCUGGAGGUUUCCGUGACUCUUCCUGCCCUUUCCAGGGUAUCCUCCUUGCUCCCCAAUGGGCAGGCAUGUAUAACCUGAUUUCUAGUGUGAAACCUGAAUGGCUG